RNAcentral lists this ribosomal RNA (1428 nucleotides) under Staphylococcus saprophyticus. RNAcentral describes it as "bacterial SSU rRNA". It matches the Rfam family "Bacterial small subunit ribosomal RNA". Lineage: Bacteria; Bacillati; Bacillota; Bacilli; Caryophanales; Staphylococcaceae. The record is from RNAcentral.
AUAAUGCAGUCGAGCGAACAGAUAAGGAGCUUGCUCCUUUGACGUUAGCGGCGGACGGGUGAGUAACACGUGGGUAACCUACCUAUAAGACUGGGAUAACUUCGGGAAACCGGAGCUAAUACCGGAUAACAUUUGGAACCGCAUGGUUCUAAAGUGAAAGAUGGUUUUGCUAUCACUUAUAGAUGGACCCGCGCCGUAUUAGCUAGUUGGUAAGGUAACGGCUUACCAAGGCGACGAUACGUAGCCGACCUGAGAGGGUGAUCGGCCACACUGGAACUGAGACACGGUCCAGACUCCUACGGGAGGCAGCAGUAGGGAAUCUUCCGCAAUGGGCGAAAGCCUGACGGAGCAACGCCGCGUGAGUGAUGAAGGGUUUCGGCUCGUAAAACUCUGUUAUUAGGGAAGAACAAAUGUGUAAGUAACUGUGCACGUCUUGACGGUACCUAAUCAGAAAGCCACGGCUAACUACGUGCCAGCAGCCGCGGUAAUACGUAGGUGGCAAGCGUUAUCCGGAAUUAUUGGGCGUAAAGCGCGCGUAGGCGGUUUCUUAAGUCUGAUGUGAAAGCCCACGGCUCAACCGUGGAGGGUCAUUGGAAACUGGGAAACUUGAGUACAGAAGAGGAAAGUGGAAUUCCAUGUGUAGCGGUGAAAUGCGCAGAGAUAUGGAGGAACACCAGUGGCGAAGGCGACUUUCUGGUCUGUAACUGACGCUGAUGUGCGAAAGCGUGGGGAUCAAACAGGAUUAGAUACCCUGGUAGUCCACGCCGUAAACGAUGAGUGCUAAGUGUUAGGGGGUUUCCGCCCCUUAGUGCUGCAGCUAACGCAUUAAGCACUCCGCCUGGGGAGUACGACCGCAAGGUUGAAACUCAAAGGAAUUGACGGGGACCCGCACAAGCGGUGGAGCAUGUGGUUUAAUUCGAAGCAACGCGAAGAACCUUACCAAAUCUUGACAUCCUUUGAAAACUCUAGAGAUAGAGCUUUCCCCUUCGGGGGACAAAGUGACAGGUGGUGCAUGGUUGUCGUCAGCUCGUGUCGUGAGAUGUUGGGUUAAGUCCCGCAACGAGCGCAACCCUUAAGCUUAGUUGCCAUCAUUAAGUUGGGCACUCUAGGUUGACUGCCGGUGACAAACCGGAGGAAGGUGGGGAUGACGUCAAAUCAUCAUGCCCCUUAUGAUUUGGGCUACACACGUGCUACAAUGGACAAUACAAAGGGCAGCUAAACCGCGAGGUCAUGCAAAUCCCAUAAAGUUGUUCUCAGUUCGGAUUGUAGUCUGCAACUCGACUACAUGAAGCUGGAAUCGCUAGUAAUCGUAGAUCAGCAUGCUACGGUGAAUACGUUCCCGGGUCUUGUACACACCGCCCGUCACACCACGAGAGUUUGUAACACCCGAAGCCGGUGGAGUAACCAUUUAUGGAGCUAGCCGUCGAA